UGCCUGGAGUGAAGAUUCUGCCCAUUGGUCAAGAGACCUCCCUCUCAGAUGCUGGCUCUGCCCCUGCCUUUGGGGGUCGACCCUUGUACUCGCAGGACCUUAGGUGACUCUGACUUUGUCAAAGGAAAAAUUUCUGCAUGUGCACACACAGAUCUUGGAAGUUUAUUCAUCUCAGCAGAGGCAGACAGGAGCAUCAACAGCCUUGGGGACAGCAGCAGUGGUGAUUCUACUUCUCUGAUCAUCCAGGAAGCCAACCUGCCUGAGGACGAGUCAUACUCUGUCCUCCCACCCCAGGCCAGAGAGUGGUAUCUGUCUUUCCACAAGUUGGAUCUGAAUGAUGCAGUGUCGCAAUCCCAUUUUAUAAAUGAGGCAACCAAAACUCGAACAGGACCAUAUUGCGACUGAAACAAGGCAUAACAGGUCUUUGACUGGCUAUCCUGUGGAUGUGGACUCAGGCUAGCCUGCGCAAAGUGAAAGACAGGCAAUUAGAUUGAAAAAUACCUGUGAUUCAAAGAAGUCACAAGUCACAGAGACAAACUUUUCCCAGUGUGUUCGAGUCAGAGAACCUUUGCAAAGACCAACAGGCUAAAAGAGAAAAUACAAUGUCAUAUGGAGAAGCUUUGAGAACACUAUGCUAAGUGAAAGAAGCCAGA
This 653-nucleotide long non-coding RNA is filed under the name Homo sapiens (human). RNAcentral's name for it is "HRG and FETUB antisense RNA 1". Lineage: Eukaryota; Metazoa; Chordata; Mammalia; Primates; Hominidae. The record is from RNAcentral.